UCAUGAAAUACCUGAGAGUAGAAAUGA
This 27-nucleotide non-coding RNA is filed under the name Bombyx mori (domestic silkworm). Lineage: Eukaryota; Metazoa; Arthropoda; Insecta; Lepidoptera; Bombycidae. The record is from RNAcentral.